This is a long non-coding RNA of Cygnus atratus (black swan), 1072 nucleotides long. RefSeq lists it as uncharacterized. The record is from RefSeq and is a predicted model, not a curated record. The transcript is spliced from 6 exons. NCBI's taxonomy places the organism in Eukaryota, Metazoa, Chordata, Aves, Anseriformes, Anatidae.
AAGGUCUAUCUAGUCCAUACCCUGAUUUUGGCAGUAGCCAAGAGCAGUAUAUUAGAUUUUAACGGUAAUGGCUUUGAUCUUUCAGUGAGUAUUAAGUUGGUGACUAAGCAGAAAACGAAAAGAAAUCCCAAGAGCAGAGUAUUCCACAACUCAGAAGAAACAGCAAGUGAAUCCGUUUCUCCCUGUGCCUCAGACCUAGCUCAAGGUCCCCUUCUCACCAGAAAUACAACUGCUUUGGGGUACUACAGCCAGUUUUUCUGUUGCAAAAUGGAAGUGCACGAUUAAACUCCAGCAACAUGGAGGGGAAAGAAAUGGCUGGAGAAGAAUGCGGAGCAGACAACAGCAGGUCAGCAUAAGCAUAGUUUGAAUUCUCGCUGUGAGUAAGAGCUCCCUUUUUCCAGUGAAACAGUACUUAAAAGUGCUUGGGAUUUAUCUUAUCUUUAUAAGUGCUGCUAUCUCAAUUAAAUUUCACCUGUGAUACCAACAGCCCUCCUGGAGACCAAAAGGAAAUUGAACAGGUUGGUCAACCCACAGCAGUGGUUAUUUCCAGGCCCCGUGCGCACCAGAGACAAAAAGGGCACAGAGGAGGAGCAGAGGUGAGAUGUGAUGGUUGGCUGACAAGUCCAGGUCGUGCUGCCAUGACUCACCAACAAGAGAGUUGCUUCUGAAGGUGAACUUCAACCCUGCAGACCACAGCAGGGAAGUAAGAGGUGUAAAUUGAUGAAAUUCUGUCUGAAAGGAAAUUCCUGUUACUUCAGUAUUGAACAACAGCAUUUCAUGACUGCCAGUAAUUGACAUGCAUGAGAGAUCUAGCAAUAUGACUGUGGUUGCUUGGCCCUUGCUAAUGAACAAGACAUCAUUCAACAGCGUUGGCAUCACAGCAUCUGCUCUGUAUCCAGUCCAAAACUGGACACUGAAAGGACCCAGGAUGCUGGUGGCAGGUAUGUGAAUGUGCACAAUUCUGCCUAAACUUCUCAAACACCUUGCUGUAAUAAAGGAUUUCAACAUCAAAAGGCAGUUUGUGAGGACAGCUACGCUCAGCAAUGAUUUCUUAAGAACUGGCUGGGCUAUU